RNAcentral lists this long non-coding RNA (502 nucleotides) under Mustela putorius furo (domestic ferret). RNAcentral describes it as "lncRNA (ENSMPUG00000027204.1)". Lineage: Eukaryota; Metazoa; Chordata; Mammalia; Carnivora; Mustelidae. The record is from RNAcentral.
CAUAAAUGUCAGGGGGGCUCAGACAGAGGCUCUCGUGUGAUAGGCCUAUGACAUUUAAACUCCCAAAUACAGUUGCCUCCCAAAGUGAGGCUGGCUGGCCAGAGGCCAUUCUGUUCCAGGGACAAGUCUAAAAUAGGAAACUGUUUCUUAGAGAAACACAAAAUCACUGCCUUUGAAAACAGCCUCCACUCUGCCCCUCCAUCCCUCAGCAGGGCAGGGACAAGAAAGCUGGAGUGGCCUGAGCAGUGGUCGAAAACUCUGGGUGAGCCAUGCCCCUCAGACAGGCACAGGUUUCCUCAUCCCAAGUCUCUGGCAGUGCCAACCCCUGCCAGGCAGCAAGGGAGGCUGGCAGGUGUGGUGAUGGAGAGACACAACAGAUGCGGGAGGGAUUGUUGAGUAUGAGGCGCUUUGGGAGGACAGGUAGGCAGCAAGUCUCUGUGAUCCGUCUGCUCCCGAUACCCCAAAGCUGCUUGAAGGGACUGGACCUGAUUGCACUGUCUGC